CCGGAUGAUGGCAAUAAUGCACUGUUAAGUGCGGUUGCCAAUAAAACGAAAGAAGAAGAAGAAGAAGAAUUGGAGUUUGCAAUAGUGGACACAGGAAAGACCAUGAGAGCCCUUCUACAGCACAUGGAGACUUUCCAGCCCAAAUGGUGAAAGCCGAAGGGCUGCUGGUUUAAGAGGGUUCCUCACGGGGCAGUGGAGCUCCCAGACUAUGAUGGUUUUGUUAUUCCUAAUCGUUUCGUGGUGGGUUAUGCUCUGGACUACAAUGAGAGACCUCAAUCACAUCUGUGUCAUCAGUGAGAUGGGGAAACAGAAGCUCCUCUUUCAAGAGGAAUGGACAUUUACAUUACCAUAACAGAUGAAAAACUCGUUUUGCAAGAUUACUGUGAUCUCAAAUCAGAGAUAAAUCUGAUCUCUCAAAUCUGAUAUCUGUAACUGACAUGCCGAAUUAUGUUUGAAAUGUAAUAUAUUUUGCAUGAAUUGGGUAAAGUCACACAUCGCAGUACUAACGUGAUAUGAUGUGGAAAACAGACUUACUGUGUGCCAUUUUAUAUGCUGUAUAAAAGCCAAGCUGUUCAUUUUUGUCCUAUUUAGAAGAUAUUUGUUUGACAGACCAUCCAUGGCACUAUUUCACAUAAAAGAUGUUUACAUGUAGUACAAGAGACAAUAAUAGCUGAAUUUAUAAAAAUGACUCCGUUCAAAAGUUGACAUCUCCUUGAUUCUUAUUAAUGUGUUCUUACCUGAAUGUGAUAGUUGUUCAUAAGUCCCUUGUUUGUCCUGAACAGUUAAACUGCCUGCUGUUCUUCAGAAAAAUCCUUCAGGUCCCGAAAAUUAUUUGGUUUUCCAGCAUUUUUGUGUAUUUGAACCCUUCCAACAAUGACUAUGAUUUUGAGAUCCAUCUUUUCACACUGAGGGACUCAUAUGCAACUAUUACAGAAUGUCCAAAUGCUCAUUGAUGCUCCAGAAGGAAAAACCAUGCAUUAAGAGCUGGGGGGUGAAAACUUUUGAACAGAAUGGAGAUGUGUACAUUUUUCUUAUUAUUUCUUAUUUUGCCAAAAUAUCUAUAAUAUUUUUUUUUGAACCACCUUUUAGAGGCUACAAAAGAUUUAACUCACAACUUACAGAAUUUAAAGGAUCUGCUGCUAAUGGUGCUAGAAACAGGACAAAUUCGGAGGUCUUGUGGAGUCCAUGCCUUGACACAUCAAAGUUGUUUUAGAAGCACGAAAGGAACUUACACAAUAUAAGUGGUUUUAAUGUUGUAGCUGGUCAGUGGAUAAAAUUGAUUAAACCUUAUCUUUGCAAAAAAAGAAGGAAAAAAAAGAAAGAAACAGAGGAGUGUUACAGGUAAUGCUAUUGAAGAAUAUUAAUUAAGAAAACAAUGCCUUAUUUUCUUUGUAACUGAGUACUUAUGUCUUCUACAAAGGACACUAAAAAUCAUGUAUAUCUUAUGUUCAAAACAAUAUGACGACAAACAAAAUAAAUAACACAUGCCUUCAGCUUUUUUGUUGGGUUCCAGAAAGAUGUAUUUGCACACUACAAACUGGCGUUAAAUAAAGAACAUCUGAAAAGCCC
This is a long non-coding RNA of Cyprinus carpio carpio, 1569 nucleotides long. Lineage: Eukaryota; Metazoa; Chordata; Actinopteri; Cypriniformes; Cyprinidae. The record is from Ensembl.